RNAcentral lists this ribosomal RNA (301 nucleotides) under uncultured bacterium. RNAcentral describes it as "partial 16S ribosomal RNA". It matches the Rfam family "Bacterial small subunit ribosomal RNA", at positions 509 to 807 of the family's 1533-position model. The record is from RNAcentral.
CAGUAACCGCGGUAAUACGAACCGUGCGAACGUUAUUCGGAAUCACUGGGCUUAAAGCGCGUGUAGGCGGAUGGGAACGUCGGUUGCUGAAAUCCCCCGGCUUAACCGGGGAACUGGCACCGAUACGGCUCGUCUGGAGGGAGGUAGGGGGGUCUGGAACUUCCGGUGGAGCGGUGAAAUGCGUUGAGAUCGGAAGGAACGCCCGUGGCGAAAGCGAGGCCCUGGACCUUUUCUGACGCUGAGACGCGAAAGCCAGGGGAGCGAACGGGAUUAGAUACCCCCGUAGUCCCUGUCUCUUAUA